UAAUACAGAGACCUCAAGCGUUAUCCGGAUUCAUUGGGCGUAAAGCGUCCGCAGGUUGCUGCAUAAGUCAAUUGUCAAAUCUUCGGGCUCAACCCGGAGACUGCGAUUGAAACUAUACAGCUAGAGGCUGGGAGAGGUAAGCGGAAUUCUCGGUGUAGUCGUAAUAAGCGCUGAUAUCGAGAGGAACACCAAAGGCGAAGGCAGCUUACUGGAACAAGCCUGACACUCAGGGACGAAAGCGUGGGGAGCGAAUCGG
Molecule: ribosomal RNA, 256 nt
Filed under: uncultured bacterium
Lineage: Bacteria
Description: partial 16S ribosomal RNA
Rfam family: Bacterial small subunit ribosomal RNA
Source: RNAcentral